This 313-nucleotide long non-coding RNA is filed under the name Carica papaya (papaya). RNAcentral's name for it is "long non-coding RNA (CPAP_LNC016345)". The record is from RNAcentral. Lineage: Eukaryota; Viridiplantae; Streptophyta; Magnoliopsida; Brassicales; Caricaceae.
AGGCCGAGAAGGGCCUCAUCCGAGGCGAAAACAGAGGGGGAGUGCGACGGUGCCGCUGGGCUUCAGCUGAGUUUUUCGACCGUUUAGCCGGUGGUUUGGCUCCGGUUUAGCCAUAGACGAAUUCAGCAUCGAAAAACGAGCCAGGAAGAGAAAAUUUACCUCGAUCGGCGGUCGGAAACUUCCCCGGUGCGGCGACGGGUGGCAGCGGCCGGCUCCUCCGGCGUCUGGUUCUUCUUCUCCGGUGAGGCACUGGCGGCUAGGGUUUUGUGGUCAGGUGUGGGUGGGAUUAUUUAUACCAUUUGCCUUUUAAUCU